RNAcentral lists this long non-coding RNA (137 nucleotides) under Cercocebus atys (sooty mangabey). Its description in RNAcentral is "lncRNA (ENSCATG00000045446.1)". The record is from RNAcentral. Lineage: Eukaryota; Metazoa; Chordata; Mammalia; Primates; Cercopithecidae.
AUUUUUGUCAAACAAGAAGCCUGAAACCAUCAAGUCUGAGUGUGGAGACAGUCUGCCUGCUCUGUCAACAGGAUGAAACAGAGAAAGAGUCUUUCUUAAAUUGAAGAAAGACAUUUCCUUGGAGGAAUCAAAACGAC